RNAcentral lists this ribosomal RNA (274 nucleotides) under uncultured bacterium. Its description in RNAcentral is "partial 16S ribosomal RNA". It matches the Rfam family "Bacterial small subunit ribosomal RNA", at positions 523 to 796 of the family's 1533-position model. The record is from RNAcentral.
AGACGGCGGGGGCUAGCGUUGUUCGGAAUUACUGGGCGUAAAGCGCUCGUAGGCGGUUUGUUAAGUCGGAUGUGAAAGCCCCGGGCUCAACCUGGGAACUGCAUUCGAUACUGGCAAACUAGAGUAUAGUAGAGGCAAGUGGAAUUCCGGGUGUAGCGGUGAAAUGCGUAGAUAUCCGGAGGAACAUCAGUGGCGAAGGCGACUUGCUGGACUAAUACUGACGCUGAGGAGCGAAAGCGUGGGGAGCAAACGGGAUUAGAAACCCCAGUAGUCC